CUGAUCAUUCCUUUCUGGCCUGAGCCUUGGCAGUGCAUCCCGCGUGUGGUUCUGUGCCUGCUUGGAUUGGUUGGAUGUUGUUUCAAGAUGUCGUGCCAGUGUCAUGCUGGCCAGAGAUGAUCCUGACAACCAUCCCUGCUCCAGGUUAUAUCAGGAGCAUCCCGGUCUACACUAGGGUGCACCUGUUUGUGUCUGACUCUCUCCAGCUCCCAUCUGCUGACCACCAACUCUCCUCUUACCUCCUGCAUGACCUCCUUUGCUUUACAUGUUUCUGAGAUGACCAUCUGCUUAACAGCAUCAGAGCUGACAUUGAUCGGGCCCAACCUCGCCCCCCAUCAGAUGUGGAAAUUGAAUUUCUUCUGGAGUGUUCUUGCCCAAGGUUGUACCAUCUCUCCUAUAACACAGCCUCAGUUAUUUGAGAACCACACUGAGGCUCAGAACUCCGAUUUUUGUGUUCAGUAAAUUGAUUUAAUGGUCAGGAAUGCAUUUGGUGGCCAGACUUCCAGGGGGCCCAUGGAAGUUCAGGGUGAGUUGUACGACGAUUGUUUUAUAGUAGAAAUAAAUGAUUGAUAAUACCUGCUUUCAACUUCUCUAGGAAAAGGUAAUAUUUUUCACGCUUUGUAUUAUCAGGCUCUAGGGCUUUAAUGACAAAUGUGUUUGAGUGCCCAAACAGGUCUGAUGGCCUUUCUGAAGGCAGUUUGAUGCUGCUGGAAGGUGCAUUGAUAGGUCUCCAUUAGGACAAGGGUGUACCUGACAAAAUAAUGUUCAUAUUGUCCCUGGCACUCUGUGGAUGGAUCUCUGCCAUUUGGUAAAGAGUUUCACCUUUGAUAAUUGCAUACUUAUUCAUUCACAGUAUAAAUAUUCAUGGACUGCCUUCUAUAUGCUUGGCACUGUGCUAGGUGCUGACGUUAUGGUAUAGGAAGCAAAACAUGCUUUUGUCUAUCAAAGAAAGGCAAAUGAACUAUGUAUAAGAAGUAACAGAAUUGAAAUUCCAGAAAGAAUGCUUGAAAAACAUGAUUUCUAUUCCACUAUAAUAAAUCUCCUAUAGUAGAGUUUCAUGUUUCAGGUACCUCACAACUAGAAAGAUAUUUCUGGUAAGGAGGCCUUUAAAUCACACCUCCGUGUCUGUUGCUGGUAUCUAAAGCAAAUUGAUAUUUCAAUCAGCAAUCUAAAGUAACUGAACUUCAAGAAAAGGGCCAGAAGAUCAAUGUUGGGAACUCUCUUCAGUGGCUUCAUGCCUAGCAUCUAUUUCUCCAGAAUAGACUCUCUCAGCUGUCGCACUGGGUCAAGUAAGAGAUCUAGAAACCUUCAUGUCUGCACUGUAAUACUUCAGCUCUAGGUAGAAAUGCCUUCACAGAAUCAGGAUUUCACAUGAUGUCUCUGACUUUUAUAAAAGAUGGGCAUAAGGAAGCCUCUGAGUCUUUUGUAAACUUACAUUUGAGGUUUAAUCAUUAACAUUUUCUUUUUUCUUCCCUAAAAAUAUAGGUGACAAAUUUAUUUGCAUAUUGAAUUCCCAUUUAGCAGGAGUAUACCUGGCCCAUGGUAGUUGCCACAUAAGUAUUUGCUGAAUGAGUGGAUGAAUGAACUAGUAUAUAUUGAGUCUAGUAUUUGCCAGAGUUUGUGCUAGGUGAUUGUACAUGUUAUCUAUUAAUUCCUCUGGCAACACACUUUUAUGCUUUAAAAUCUUUUAAUAAAGUAAAAGUUUUAUAAAUCAUUAUGCUUCCCUUUUUGCCUUUCUGCAAGAAAUAUAAUUGUUUUGCUACACUAAAUUCAUAGGCAGAACUCCAUAGCCUCUUACUAUCUCCUUUUUCCCUCUGUCUCAACAUGUGUACAUCACACACACACACACACACACACACACACACGCACAUGCAUGUGUAUGUACAACUUUUCUUACUUGGCCUUGUUUCCUUUUUGGAAAUAAAUGGUGUAUGAGUAAUAAAUAAAUGACUAUAGGAAUACAGGUGAUACACUGGUGUUGCAGAUCUUUAAUUAAGCUGUGAUUAUUGUGAUAAGAGAUUGGUUUAGAAAAAACUUUUAGACUUUUUAAGCACAUAUCUUCGAUAAGUGUCAUUGAAACAUACAAAUAGUUCUGUGAUCAAUACCAGUUAGCUGUUUUUAUAUGAAGGAAAUAUAAUCAUUGGCCAUUAGUGGUAUAUAUGUUAUUUGCUCUUAUUUCAACAAUAAACAUGAUGUCAUAUAUGCCAUUAGGCUGUAUUUUUCAUCAAAUAUUGAACUGUUUUAGUCUGCCCAUCUCAUAAACAGAAACAAUUAGGGUGAUCAUAAAAUAUGUAGAUUUAUUGAGUGUAGCAAGAUGCAAUAAUAUUCCAAAUUAAACUCAAGCAAUUAAUUUUUUUUUUCCUUUAAUUCAAGUCUACU
RNAcentral lists this long non-coding RNA (2379 nucleotides) under Macaca mulatta (Rhesus monkey). RNAcentral describes it as "lncRNA (ENSMMUG00000057697.1)". The record is from RNAcentral. Lineage: Eukaryota; Metazoa; Chordata; Mammalia; Primates; Cercopithecidae.